Molecule: long non-coding RNA, 437 nt
Organism: Mandrillus leucophaeus (drill)
Lineage: Eukaryota; Metazoa; Chordata; Mammalia; Primates; Cercopithecidae
Exons: 3
Source: RefSeq, a predicted model, not a curated record
GGCAGUUGCUGGCCUAGACUCACUUCUUCAGGAGGGAGGUUCGCCCUGGAAAGCUGAUCUGCAUUUCUGCUGAGAUCGAUGCCGUGGAGACUGAAUACAUUGAGUUCUCCAGUUGAAAGAAAAAAGCGCAACCUGGCUUCUGAAUUCCAAGAACACACUACACAGUGGGUCUAAAUCAACCUCUGGUAAUGAAGGGCCUGGAGCCAGAUAUGAGCUUCUUGGAGCUUUUGGCAGUUUCUGGUGGAGGUCAGCUAUCCUUGUCAUCUACCUUGGCCCCUCUGUAGGGGAUGAGCUCAGGGCUACACUUUUCCUUCCAGGUUCUCAUGGUGUGGUCCGGGCUCCAUUUCUUUCUCUUUGAACCUCACUUCAACAUGAUUAGAGUGACCGAAGGUAAAGAAAUAGGAACUGUUUUACUGUAAAUAAGUUAGUCCCUGCUA